GGUGGCUAAGUCAGUGGACACAGAGUUCACCUCCCCACACAAAAACAUCAAAAAUACAUCUACACAUGGAGCAAUUGUCACUGAAAAACCAGGAAGUAGCAAGACCAACACUAGCAACUGUUGACCUCACUUGCAGUCCAACAUGCUUCCUAAGUGCUCUGCUGCCUCUGAAAAAAUAAUAAAUUCAGCCCAACGCUCAACUGAACAUCUGAAAACUCACAUCGACAUUGGCAAAACUCUUUUGACAACGAGAGCUAUUGAAACCACUCUUGGAUGGUGAACACCACAGAGGAAUGAGACAGGGACAUAAAUGAGGAGGAAAAUUACAGCUUAAAUUUAAGAUUAAACUUGAAAACUUAGUGUUCUCUCUCUGUCCUCUUUCCAAUUCCCUGAUGCCCUACUUCAAAAAGUCAGUCUUAUUGUUGAAUAUGGAUCUUCAGCACUUAUUUAGCAAGCCUCUGCCAUUACAUUCAUUUUUCUUUCUCCAGAGAAAAACCACCCCACUCUGGAAGUUAGGAUUUUACAUUGAGAACAGAGAAUACUGGGGCUCAAAGGAGAGGCAAAUGAGGACAACUCCAAGAUUUUUUGUUCUUUCUUUUUUUUAAGAGCUUUUCUCUACCUAAGGUG
This is a long non-coding RNA of Cervus elaphus (red deer), 627 nucleotides long. RefSeq lists it as uncharacterized. Lineage: Eukaryota; Metazoa; Chordata; Mammalia; Artiodactyla; Cervidae. The transcript is spliced from 2 exons. The record is from RefSeq and is a predicted model, not a curated record.